UCGGGAAUUUUGGGUCAAUGGGCGGAAAGCCUGACCCAGCAACGCCGCGUGAAGGAUGAAGUAUUUCGGUAUGUAAACUUCGAAAGAAUAGGAAGAAUAAAUGACGGUACUAUUUAUAAGGUCCGGCUAACUACGUGCCAGCAGCCGCGGUAAUACGUAGGGACCAAGCGUUGUUCGGAUUUACUGGGCGUAAAGGGCGCGUAGGCGGCAUGACAAGUCACUUGUGAAAUCUCUGGGCUUAACCCAGAACGGCCAAGUGAUACUGUCGCGCUAGAGUGCAGAAGGGGCAAUCGGAAUUCUUGGUGUAGCGGUGAAAUGCGUAGAUAUCAAGAGGAACACCUGAGGUGAAGACGGGUUGCUGGGCUGACACUGACGCUGAGGCGCGAAAGCCAGGGGAGCAAACGGGAUUAGAUACCCCAGUAGUCCCUGAGCGGGCUGGCAAGGCGCAU
Molecule: ribosomal RNA, 449 nt
Filed under: uncultured bacterium
Lineage: Bacteria
Description: bacterial SSU rRNA
Rfam family: Bacterial small subunit ribosomal RNA
Source: RNAcentral